CUCGACCUGAGCUCAAGCAAGACCACCCGCUGAACUUAAGCAUAUCAAUAAGCGGAGGAAAAGAAACUAACAAGGAUUCCCUUAGUAAUGGCGAAUGAAACGGAAUAGCAUCUGUCCGCAUGGCCCA
This 127-nucleotide ribosomal RNA is filed under the name Dunaliella salina. RNAcentral's name for it is "partial 28S ribosomal RNA". It matches the Rfam family "Eukaryotic large subunit ribosomal RNA", at positions 1 to 125 of the family's 3401-position model. The record is from RNAcentral. Lineage: Eukaryota; Viridiplantae; Chlorophyta; Chlorophyceae; Chlamydomonadales; Dunaliellaceae.